Molecule: non-coding RNA, 27 nt
Filed under: Homo sapiens (human)
Lineage: Eukaryota; Metazoa; Chordata; Mammalia; Primates; Hominidae
Source: RNAcentral
UAAGAUCACAACCUGAGCAUCCUGCCA